AGAGUUUGAUCCUGGCUCAGGAUGAACGCUGGCGGCGUGCUUAACACAUGCAAGUCACGGGGGCCCAGCAAUGGGCAACCGGCGAACGGGUGCGUAACACGUGAGCAACCUACCUAAGUGAGGGGGAUAGCCGGCCCAACGGCCGGGUAAUACCGCAUACGCUCGAGUUGAGGCAUUUUGAUUCGAGGAAACCUACGGGGCACUAUGAGGGGCUCGCGGCCUAUCAGCUAGUUGGUGAGGUAACGGCUCACCAAGGCGACGACGGGUAGCUGGUCUGAGAGGAUGGCCAGCCACAUUGGGACUGAGAUACGGCCCAGACUCCUACGGGAGGCAGCAGUGGGGAAUCUUGCGCAAUGGCCUAACGGCUGACGCAGCGACGCCGCGUGAGGGAUGACGCUCUUCGGAGUGUAAACCUCUUUUGUCUGAGACGAAUUGUCAGCAUCAGCUGAUUUGACGGUAUCGGGCGAAUAAGCACCGGCUAACUCCGUGCCAGCAGCCGCGGUAAUACGGGGGGUGCGAGCGUUGUCCGGAAUCACUGGGCGUAAAGGGCGCGUAGGUGGCCUUAUAAGGGUGUGGUGAAAGUCCGGGGCUCAACCCCGGAUCGGCCGUGCCGACUGUUAGGCUAGAGUACUGUAGGGGCAGGCGGAAUUCCGGGUGUAGCGGUGGAAUGCGUAGAGAUCCGGAGGAAGACCGGUGGCGAAGGCGGCCUGCUGGGCAGUUACUGACACUGAGGCGCGACAGCGUGGGGAGCAAACAGGAUUAGAUACCCUGGUAGUCCACGCCGUAAACGAUGGGUACUAGGUGCUUGGGGGAGCGACCCCUUGGGUGCCGGCGCUAACGCAGGAAGUGCCCCGCCUGGGGAGUACGGCCGCAAGGCUGAAACUCAAAGGAAUUGACGGGGGCCCGCACAAGCGGUGGAGCAUGUGGUUUAAUUCGACGCAACGCGAAGAACCUUACCUAGGCUUGACACGCAUGGGAAACUCCUCAGAAACGAGGAGCCUCCUUCGGGACCCAUGCACAGGUGCUGCAUGGCUGUCGUCAGCUCGUGUCGUGAGAUGUUGGGUUAAGUCCCGCAACGAGCGCAACCC
This 1088-nucleotide ribosomal RNA is filed under the name uncultured bacterium. Its description in RNAcentral is "bacterial SSU rRNA". It matches the Rfam family "Bacterial small subunit ribosomal RNA", at positions 8 to 1104 of the family's 1533-position model. The record is from RNAcentral.